AUUGAACGCUGGCGGCAGGCCUAACACAUGCAAGUCGGACGGUAGCACAGAGAGCUUGCUCUUGGGUGACGAGUGGCGGACGGGUGAGUAAUGUCUGGGGAUCUGCCCGAUCGAGGGGGAUAACCACUGGAAACGGUGGCUAAUACCGCAUAACGUCGCAAGACCAAAGAGGGGGACCUUCGGGCCUCCCACUAUCGGAUGAACCCAGAUGGGAUUAGCUAGUAGGCGGGGUAAUGGCCCACCUAGGCGACGAUCCCUAGCUGGUCUGAGAGGAUGACCAGCCACACUGGAACUGAGACACGGUCCAGACUCCUACGGGAGGCAGCAGUGGGGAAUAUUGCACAAUGGGCGCAAGCCUGAUGCAGCCAUGCCGCGUGUAUGAAGAAGGCCUUCGGGUUGUAAAGUACUUUCAGCGGGGAGGAAGGCGGUGAGGUUAAUAACCUCACCGAUUGACGUUACCCGCAGAAGAAGCACCGGCUAACUCCGUGCCAGCCGCCGCCGUAA
This 504-nucleotide ribosomal RNA is filed under the name uncultured bacterium. RNAcentral describes it as "partial 16S ribosomal RNA". It matches the Rfam family "Bacterial small subunit ribosomal RNA", at positions 29 to 523 of the family's 1533-position model. The record is from RNAcentral.